This 503-nucleotide ribosomal RNA is filed under the name uncultured Glomeromycotina. Its description in RNAcentral is "partial small subunit ribosomal RNA". It matches the Rfam family "Eukaryotic small subunit ribosomal RNA", at positions 591 to 1092 of the family's 1831-position model. Lineage: Eukaryota; Fungi; Glomeromycota. The record is from RNAcentral.
CCAAUAGCGUAUAUUAAAGUUGUUGCAGUUAAAAAGCUCGUAGUUGAAUUUCGGGGUUCAUCCGUUGGUCGGGCUUUUUUGGUCUGUACUGGCGUGAUGGAUUCCUACCUUCUGAAUAACCAGCAUGUCAUUAAUUUGGUGCGCUGGGGAAGCAGGACUGUUACCUUGAAAAAAUUAGAGUGCUUAAAGCAGGCUAUCGCCUGAAUACAUUAGCAUGGAAUAAUGAAAUAGGACGGCAUGGUUCUAUUUUGUUGGUUUCUAGGAUCACCGUAAUGAUUAAUAGGGAUAGUUGGGGGCAUUAGUAUUCAAUUGUCAGAGGUGAAAUUCUUGGAUUUAUUGAAGACUAACUUCUGCGAAAGCAUUUGCCAAGGAUGUUUUCAUUAAUCAAGAACGAAAGUUAGGGGAUCGAAGACGAUCAGAUACCGUCGUAGUCUUAACCAUAAACUAUGCCGACUAGGGAUCGGACGAUGUUAAUUUUUUAAUGACUCGUUCGGCGCCUUACA